Molecule: ribosomal RNA, 920 nt
Filed under: Alteromonas sp.
Lineage: Bacteria; Pseudomonadati; Pseudomonadota; Gammaproteobacteria; Alteromonadales; Alteromonadaceae
Description: bacterial SSU rRNA
Rfam family: Bacterial small subunit ribosomal RNA
Source: RNAcentral
AGUCGAACGGAAACAUGUCUAGCUUGCUAGAUGAUGUCGAGUGGCGGACGGGUGAGUAAUGCUUGGGAACUUGCCUUUGCGAGGGGGAUAACAGUUGGAAACGACUGCUAAUACCGCAUAAUGUCUACGGACCAAANNGGGCUUCGGCUCUGGCGCAAAGAGAGGCCCAAGUGAGAUUAGCUAGUUGGUGAGGUAAAGGCUCACCAAGGCAACGAUCUCUAGCUGUUCUGAGAGGAAGAUCAGCCACACUGGGACUGAGACACGGCCCAGACUCCUACGGGAGGCAGCAGUGGGGAAUAUUGCACAAUGGGGGAAACCCUGAUGCAGCCAUGCCGCGUGUGUGAAGAAGGCCUUCGGGUUGUAAAGCACUUUCAGUUGUGAGGAAAAGUUAGUAGUUAAUACCUGCUAGCCGUGACGUUAACAACAGAAGAAGCACCGGCUAACUCCGUGCCAGCAGCCGCGGUAAUACGGAGGGUGCGAGCGUUAAUCGGAAUUACUGGGCGUAAAGCGCACGCAGGCGGUUUGUUAAGCUAGAUGUGAAAGCCCCGGGCUCAACCUGGGACGGUCAUUUAGAACUGGCAGACUAGAGUCUUGGAGAGGGGAGUGGAAUUCCAGGUGUAGCGGUGAAAUGCGUAGAUAUCUGGAGGAACAUCAGUGGCGAAGGCGACUCCCUGGCCAAAGACUGACGCUCAUGUGCGAAAGUGUGGGUAGCGAACAGGAUUAGAUACCCUGGUAGUCCACACCGUAAACGCUGUCUACUAGCUGUUUGUGACUUUAAGUCGUGAGUAGCGAAGCUAACGCGAUAAGUAGACCGCCUGGGGAGUACGGCCGCAAGGUUAAAACUCAAAUGAAUUGACGGGGGCCCGCACAAGCGGUGGAGCAUGUGGUUUAAUUCGAUGCAACGCGAAGAACCUUACCUA